RNAcentral lists this ribosomal RNA (317 nucleotides) under uncultured Paludibacter sp. Its description in RNAcentral is "bacterial SSU rRNA". It matches the Rfam family "Bacterial small subunit ribosomal RNA", at positions 28 to 339 of the family's 1533-position model. The record is from RNAcentral. Lineage: Bacteria; Pseudomonadati; Bacteroidota; Bacteroidia; Bacteroidales; Paludibacteraceae.
GAUGAACGCUAGCGACAGGCCUAACACAUGCAAGUCGAGGGGCAGCGCGGAAGUAGCUUGCUAUUUCUGGCGGCGACCGGCGCACGGGUGCGUAACAGGUGUGCAAUCUGUCCAUAGUCGGGGGAUAGCCCAGCGAAAGCUGAAUUAACACUCCAUGUGUCACGAAGCCGCAUGACUUUGUGAUGAAACGUAAGGACUAUGGGUGAGCACGCUUCUGAUUAGGUAGUUGGUGGGGUAACGGCCCACCAAGCCGACGAUCAGUAGGGGUUCUGAGAGGAAGGUCCCCCACAUUGGAACUGAGACACGGUCCAAACUCC